AUAAGGAGUCAGACCUGCCCAGUGAAUUUUUUCAACGGCCGCGGUACUCUGACCGUGCAAAGGUAGCAUAAUCAUUUGCCUUAUAAUUGAAGGCUAGUAUGAAUGGUUUGACAAGAAUAUAGCUGUCUCUUUUAGAUUUGAUAGAAUUUUAUCUUAAGGUGAAGAAGCCUUAAUACAAUUAAAAGACAAGAAGACCCUGUCGAGCUUUAAAAAAAUUAGGAGGCACUAGUUAAUAAGUUUUAAAAAACUAACUUCAAAAAAUUUUGGUUGGGGCGACCGAGGAACAAACAAAGCUUCCUUCAAAAUAAAAAUAUACAAAUAUUGAUCCAAAACUUUUGAUUAAAGAAAUUAGUUACCGCAGGGAUAACAGCAUUAUCUUUUUUAAGAGCUCUUAUCGAAAAAAAGGUUUGUGACCUCGAUGUUGGACCAGAAUAUCCUAAAGGUGCAGAAGCCUUUAAGGGUUGGUCUGUUCGACCAUUAAAAUUCUA
RNAcentral lists this ribosomal RNA (488 nucleotides) under Cochlespira pulchella. Its description in RNAcentral is "partial 16S ribosomal RNA". It matches the Rfam family "Bacterial large subunit ribosomal RNA", at positions 1845 to 2598 of the family's 2925-position model. Lineage: Eukaryota; Metazoa; Mollusca; Gastropoda; Neogastropoda; Turridae. The record is from RNAcentral.